Molecule: ribosomal RNA, 292 nt
Filed under: uncultured bacterium
Lineage: Bacteria
Description: partial 16S ribosomal RNA
Rfam family: Bacterial small subunit ribosomal RNA
Source: RNAcentral
GUGUCAGCAGCCGCGGUAACACGUAGGAGGCGAGCGUUAUCCGGAUUUACUGGGUGUAAAGCGCGAGCAGGCGGUCGUGUAAGUUGGGUGUGAAAGCUCCUGGCUUAACUGGGAGAGGUCGCUCAAGACUGCACGACUAGAGCAUGGUAGAGGAAGGUGGAAUUCCGGGUGUAGUGGUGAAAUGCGUAGAGAUCCGGAGGAACACCAGUGGCGAAAGCGGCCUUCUGGGCCAUGACUGACGCUCAGACGCGAAAGCCAGGGGAGCAAACGGGAUUAGAAACCCUAGUAGUCC